GCUUAAUGAAGGUGGUGGAUUUCAUGGGAACUUUGCAGAAUGAGUAUGCGUAGACAUUCAUUUCAGGUAGCAGGAAUUAGCGAGAAUCAGCAAUGCUUUGUUACAUGAUAGAAAGUCGGCCAGUCUGAGUGAAUUAUGAGGGAAUAGGAGUAGUAGUCAGAGCUGAUACGUGAUGGGGAAGGGGCUGGUAUGACCUUCAUAGCCUCUGCUGAUGGUUUAGGUGAUGAUAGAUUUGUGAUAUGCUUGUGUCUUUAGAGUGCUUACUGAAUAUGUUUCAGUAUUUUCUAGCCUUUCCUUUAAAUAUUUUGGGGAAAUGCUUAUAUUUGGUUUGACCAAUUUUGGGGAGUAAGUGAUUUUUUAAGUUUUUCAAAUACAUAAUUCCUUUUGGUACUUUAACUCCACAAUGAUGACUGAAUAAAGUUAUCUUGAUUUUAAUACAGUAGGUAUGAUGUAAAACCCUCUAAAGAGAGCACAGAAAUACUGCCGAAACCUUCCAAAGAGAGAGGAUAGUAAAAUGCCAUUUUAAUUUGAUUUAAAAUGCUUUGUUGAAAUAGGUAAGCUGAGAAAACUCUCCAGAGUGCUUUUGGAAAUUCUUCAAAAAGUUUCUGAAAUGAUGCCUGCGUUUCUGAAGUGAAUGUGCAAAUCUAAUGUUUCCACUUAAAUAGGUUGUUUUUAUUAAGUAGUUGAUUUUUCUCUAGGAAUUGGGAACUUGUUCAUGAUCAUGAAACUUAACUUGUCACUGAAUUUUUGGUGACAGCACUUUCUAACGAGUAUUUAUUUUUUUCAAAAUAUUUUAGGUCAUAUUUAACAAUAAGCUACUGGACUUAAGUGGUAUGACUGUCUCUCAUGCAUAGGGUUUUAGUUCUUUAACU
RNAcentral lists this long non-coding RNA (872 nucleotides) under Bos taurus (domestic cattle). Its description in RNAcentral is "long non-coding RNA NONBTAT013514". Lineage: Eukaryota; Metazoa; Chordata; Mammalia; Artiodactyla; Bovidae. The record is from RNAcentral.